UACGUAGGGUGCGAGCGUUGUCCGGAUUUAUUGGGCGUAAAGAGCUCGUAGGCGGGUUGGUAAGUCCGCUGUGAAAGCCCGGAGCUUAACUCCGGAGGGUCGGUGGAUACUGCCAGUCUUGAAGGUGCUAGGGGGAGAUGGAAUUACCGGUGUAGCGGUGAAAUGCGUAGAUAUCGGUAGGAACACCAGUGGCGAAAGCGGUCUCCUGGGGCAUUCUUGACGCUGAGGCGCGAAAGCUGGGGGAGCAAACGGG
This 253-nucleotide ribosomal RNA is filed under the name uncultured bacterium. RNAcentral describes it as "partial 16S ribosomal RNA". It matches the Rfam family "Bacterial small subunit ribosomal RNA", at positions 524 to 776 of the family's 1533-position model. The record is from RNAcentral.